Molecule: non-coding RNA, 26 nt
Filed under: Rattus norvegicus (Norway rat)
Lineage: Eukaryota; Metazoa; Chordata; Mammalia; Rodentia; Muridae
Source: RNAcentral
UAGGCCUCACCUUUCCUCAGAGGACC